RNAcentral lists this ribosomal RNA (650 nucleotides) under uncultured bacterium. RNAcentral's name for it is "bacterial SSU rRNA". It matches the Rfam family "Bacterial small subunit ribosomal RNA", at positions 56 to 753 of the family's 1533-position model. The record is from RNAcentral.
UGCAGUCGAACGGAUCCUUCGGGAUUAGUGGCGGACGGGUGAGUAACACGUGGGAACGUGCCUUUUGGUUCGGAACAACUCAGGGAAACUUGAGCUAAUACCGGAUGUGCCCUUCGGGGGAAAGAUUUAUCGCCAUUAGAGCGGCCCGCGUAGGAUUAGCUAGUUGGUGGGGUAAUGGCCCACCAAGGCUCCGAUCCUUAGCUGGUCUGAGAGGAUGAUCAGCCACACUGGGACUGAGACACGGCCCAGACUCCUACGGGAGGCAGCAGUGGGGAAUCUUGCGCAAUGGGCGAAAGCCUGACGCAGCCAUGCCGCGUGAAUGAUGAAGGUCUUAGGAUUGUAAAAUUCUUUCACCGGGGACGAUAAUGACGGUACCCGGAGAAGAAGCCCCGGCUAACUUCGUGCCAGCAGCCGCGGUAAUACGAAGGGGGCUAGCGUUGCUCGGAAUUACUGGGCGUAAAGGGAGCGUAGGUGGACAGUUUAGUCAGAGGUGAAAGCCCAGGGCUCAACCUUGGAAUUGCCUUUGAUACUGGCUGUCUUGAGUACGGAAGAGGUAUGUGGAACUCCGAGUGUAGAGGUGAAAUUCGUAGAUAUUCGGAAGAACACCAGUGGCGAAGGCGACAUACUGGUCCGUUACUGACACUGAGGCU